Molecule: ribosomal RNA, 253 nt
Filed under: uncultured bacterium
Lineage: Bacteria
Description: partial 16S ribosomal RNA
Rfam family: Bacterial small subunit ribosomal RNA
Source: RNAcentral
UACGGAGGAUGCAAGCGUUAUCCGGAUUCAUUGGGUUUAAAGGGUGCGCAGGCGGAAUGAUAAGUCAGUGGUGAAAUCCUACGGCUCAACUGUAGAACUGCCAUUGAUACUGUCAUUCUUGAGUACACUUGAAGUGGGCGGAAUGUGUCAUGUAGCGGUGAAAUGCUUAGAUAUGACACAGAACACCGAUGGCGAAGGCAGCCACCUGGGCUAACACUGACGCUCAUGCACGAAAGCGUGGGGAGCAAACAGG